GUUUAGUUCUAUUAAAUUUUACUUUGUAAGACUAUAUUGAUAGAUGUGAUGGAAUUCAAAAGAAAAGAUGUGAAAAAGGGCCAAAAUGAAAGAAAAUGAAAGUACAAGGACUAAAGUGCAAAUAAUCAAAAGUUGACUCGAAAGGCGAAUUGAAAAUGUAAAUGAGCUAAGUAUCAACUUGGGGAUAAUUUGAGAUGAUAGAAGGACAAAAAUAAAGACGAAAGACUAAGAUAGAAAAGAAUGAAAGUUCAGAGACCAAAAUGUAUAUAAGUCGAAAGAUUCUCCGAAGGAAGAAUCGAGGAAUUGGACGAACCAAAUAUUAAUUCAAGGCUAUUUUGGAUUGAUGGAAAGAGGAGAAUCGAGAAAAGAGGCAAAGAUAUGAAUAAAUAAAGUCGAAGACCAAAACGGCAUAAUCUGGAAGUUGCCUUAACUAUGCAGUCACAUGGCAUAAAAUUCCAUGCGGUCGCGUACAUUGCAACAGGGAUUUCAAGGGAGAUUUUUGUUAUAACUAUGCAGUUGAAUAGCUAUACUCCGGGGCAAAUUCUGCAGUUUCCUUUUCUCGUUAAAACUAUUAUGAAACCUAGUUCGGAAGCGUAUAUAAAACCAAAAGCUGUCAAAUUAAGGAGAGAACACAUUGGGAAGGAAAAAAACAUAUUGGAGAGAAUUUGGAGCCACAACAACAAAGACAAACACAAAGACCGAUGGGAUCUCAUGCAAUUAUUUAAUCCGGUGAUGUUAUUUCUUCAAGUUAUUAUGUAUUUUGUAAUUUUCUCCAUGCUAGGCUAGAAAUUCUUGUACUAUGAGAUCGAUGAAACUUGUAAUGUAAUUUUUGAUUCCUUGUUCUAUGUUUUUUUUAUAUUAAAACACGUAUUGAACAUUUUGAAUGGUUUAUAUACAUUUAAUUUCUUCCAUAAUUAUUGGGCCCGUAAUUGUGUGAGUGUGGUGAUCUAUUUCUUACAUUCGAGAGGAGGGGAAUAUGUUCGAUAAUGUAUAAAUCAUCAUAGAGUACAAUAGAGGAUAGAGAUAUACCGUUGCGCUCUACGUGAAUCUUUAAGUGCUCACAAAACUAUAUGCAUUCUUAUAUAUUUGCACCCGUUCCGAUGGUAUAUGAGAG
RNAcentral lists this long non-coding RNA (1114 nucleotides) under Olea europaea subsp. europaea. Lineage: Eukaryota; Viridiplantae; Streptophyta; Magnoliopsida; Lamiales; Oleaceae. The record is from RNAcentral.